UAGUCUGGGAAACUGCCUGAUGGAGGGGGGUAACUGCUGGAAACGGUAGCUAAUACCGCAUAACGUCGCAAGACCAAAGUGGGGGACCUUCGGGCCUCAUGCCAUCAGAUGUGCCCAGAUGGGAUUAGCUAGUAGGUGGGGUAACGGCUCACCUAGGCGACGAUCCCUAGCUGGUCUGAGAGGAUGACCAGCCACACUGGAGCUGAGACACGGUCCAG
RNAcentral lists this ribosomal RNA (218 nucleotides) under uncultured bacterium. Its description in RNAcentral is "partial 16S ribosomal RNA". It matches the Rfam family "Bacterial small subunit ribosomal RNA", at positions 113 to 334 of the family's 1533-position model. The record is from RNAcentral.